UACGUAGGGACCAAGCGUUGUUCGGAUUUACUGGGCGUAAAGGGCGCGUAGGCGGCUUAACAAGUCACUUGUGAAAUCUCCGGGCUUAACUCGGAACGGCCAAGUGAAACUGUCAAGCUAGAGUGCAGAAGGGGCAAUCGGAAUUCCUGGUGUAGCGGUGAAAUGCGUAGAGAUCAGGAGGAACACCCGUGGCGAAGGCGGCUCCCUGGUCCGUUUCUGACGCUGAGACGCGAGAGCGCGGGGAGCGAACGGG
This 253-nucleotide ribosomal RNA is filed under the name uncultured bacterium. Its description in RNAcentral is "partial 16S ribosomal RNA". It matches the Rfam family "Bacterial small subunit ribosomal RNA", at positions 524 to 776 of the family's 1533-position model. The record is from RNAcentral.